AUACUGCGUGAGGGAUAGAAGUGAAAAGCCCGCAGACCAAUGCAGUGAUAACGAAAUUGGUCGAGGACUUGUAACGGAUAGCCCGGUUCGCC
RNAcentral lists this unclassified non-coding RNA (92 nucleotides) under Flavobacterium aquidurense. Its description in RNAcentral is "Flavo-1 RNA". The record is from RNAcentral. Lineage: Bacteria; Pseudomonadati; Bacteroidota; Flavobacteriia; Flavobacteriales; Flavobacteriaceae.